RNAcentral lists this ribosomal RNA (498 nucleotides) under uncultured bacterium. Its description in RNAcentral is "partial 16S ribosomal RNA". It matches the Rfam family "Bacterial small subunit ribosomal RNA", at positions 27 to 507 of the family's 1533-position model. The record is from RNAcentral.
GGACGAACGCUGGCGGCGUGCCUAAUACAUGCAAGUUGAGCGCUGAAGGUUGGUACUUGUACCAACUGGAUGAGCAGCGAACGGGUGAGUAACGCGUGGGGAAUCUGCCUUUGAGCGGGGGACAACAUUUGGAAACGAAUGCUAAUACCGCAUAAAAACUUUAAACACAAGUUUUAAGUUUGAAAGAUGCAAUUGCAUCACUCAAAGAUGAUCCCGCGUUGUAUUAGCUAGUUGGUGAGGUAAAGGCUCACCAAGGCGAUGAUACAUAGCCGACCUGAGAGGGUGAUCGGCCACAUGGGGACUGAGACACGGCCCAAACUCCUACGGGAGGCAGCAGUAGGGAAUCUUCGGCAAUGGACGAAAGUCUGACCGAGCAACGCCGCGUGAGUGAAGAAGGUUUUCGGAUCGUAAAACUCUGUUGGUAGAGAAGAACGUUGGUGAGAGUGGAAAGCUCAUCAAGUGACGGUAACUACCCAGAAAGGGACGGCUAACUACGUG